This 730-nucleotide ribosomal RNA is filed under the name uncultured bacterium. RNAcentral describes it as "bacterial SSU rRNA". It matches the Rfam family "Bacterial small subunit ribosomal RNA", at positions 1 to 717 of the family's 1533-position model. The record is from RNAcentral.
CCCUUAGAGUUUGAUCCUGGCUCAGGACGAACGCUGGCGGCGUGCCUAAUACAUGCAAGUCGAGCGGAACACUUGGAGCUUGCUCCAAGCGUUUAGCGGCGGACGGGUGAGUAACACGUGGGCAACCUGCCCUGCAGAUCGGGAUAACUCCGGGAAACCGGUGCUAAUACCGAAUAGUUUGAAGCCUCACCUGAGGCUUCACGGAAAGACGGUUUCGGCUGUCACUGCAGGAUGGGCCCGCGGCGCAUUAGCUAGUUGGUGGGGUAACGGCCCACCAAGGCCACGAUGCGUAGCCGACCUGAGAGGGUGACCGGCCACACUGGGACUGAGACACGGCCCAGACUCCUACGGGAGGCAGCAGUAGGGAAUCUUCCGCAAUGGACGCAAGUCUGACGGAGCAACGCCGCGUGAGUGACGAAGGUUUUCGGAUCGUAAAACUCUGUUGUGAGGGAAGAACACGUACCAACUAACUAUUGGUACCUUGACGGUACCUCACCAGAAAGCCACGGCUAACUACGUGCCAGCAGCCGCGGUAAUACGUAGGUGGCAAGCGUUGUCCGGAAUUAUUGGGCGUAAAGCGCGCGCAGGCGGUUCCUUAAGUCUGAUGUGAAAGCCCACGGCUCAACCGUGGAGGGUCAUUGGAAACUGGGGAACUUGAGUGCAGAAGAGGAAAGUGGAAUUCCACGUGUAGCGGUGAAAUGCGUAGAGAUGUGGAGGAACACCAGUGGCG